AACACGUGGAUAACCUACCUAUAAGACUGGGAUAACUUCGGGAAACCGGAGCUAAUACCGGAUAAUAUUUUGAACCGCAUGGUUCAAAAGUGAAAGACGGUCUUGCUGUCACUUAUAGAUGGAUCCGCGCUGCAUUAGCUAGUUGGUAAGGUAACGGCUUACCAAGGCAACGAUGCAUAGCCGACCUGAGAGGGUGAUCGGCCACACUGGAACUGAGACACGGUCCAGACUCCUACGGGAGGCAGCAGUAGGGAAUCUUCCGCAAUGGGCGAAAGCCUGACGGAGCAACGCCGCGUGAGUGAUGAAGGUCUUCGGAUCGUAAAACUCUGUUAUUAGGGAAGAACAUAUGUGUAAGUAACUGUGCACAUCUUGACGGUACCUAAUCAGAAAGCCACGGCUAACUACGUGCCAGCAGCCGCGGUAAUACGUAGGUGGCAAGCGUUAUCCGGAAUUAUUGGGCGUAAAGCGCGCGUAGGCGGUUUUUUAAGUCUGAUGUGAAAGCCCACGGCUCAACCGUGGAGGGUCAUUGGAAACUGGAAAACUUGAGUGCAGAAGAGGAAAGUGGAAUUCCAUGUGUAGCGGUGAAAUGCGCAGAGAUAUGGAGGAAC
RNAcentral lists this ribosomal RNA (608 nucleotides) under Staphylococcus aureus. Its description in RNAcentral is "bacterial SSU rRNA". It matches the Rfam family "Bacterial small subunit ribosomal RNA", at positions 112 to 707 of the family's 1533-position model. The record is from RNAcentral. Lineage: Bacteria; Bacillati; Bacillota; Bacilli; Caryophanales; Staphylococcaceae.